This 749-nucleotide ribosomal RNA is filed under the name Rhodococcus sp. (in: high G+C Gram-positive bacteria). RNAcentral's name for it is "bacterial SSU rRNA". It matches the Rfam family "Bacterial small subunit ribosomal RNA", at positions 67 to 833 of the family's 1533-position model. Lineage: Bacteria; Bacillati; Actinomycetota; Actinomycetes; Mycobacteriales; Nocardiaceae. The record is from RNAcentral.
CGGUAAGGCCUUUCGGGGUACACGAGCGGCGAACGGGUGAGUAACACGUGGGUGAUCUGCCCUGCACUUCGGGAUAAGCCUGGGAAACUGGGUCUAAUACCGGAUAUGACCUCCUAUCGCAUGGUGGGUGGUGGAAAGAUUUAUCGGUGCAGGAUGGGCCCGCGUCCUAUCAGCUUGUUGGUGGGGUAAUGGCAUACCAAGGCGACGACGGGUAGCCGACAUGAGAGGGUGACCGGCCACACUGGGACUGAGACACGGCCCAGACUCGUACGGGAGGCAGCAGUGGGGAAUAUUGCACAAUGGGCGAAAGCCUGAUGCAGCGACGCCGCGUGAGGGAUGACGGCCUUCGGGUUGUAAACCUCUUUCAGCAGGGACGAAGCGCAAGUGACGGUACCUGCAGAAGAAGCACCGGCUAAUUACGUGCCAGCAGCCGCGGUAAUACGUAGGGUGCAAGCGUUGUCCGGAAUUACUGGGCGUAAAGAGUUCGUAGGCGGUUUGUCGCUUCGUUUGUGAAAACCAGCAGUUCAACUGCUGGCUUGCAGGCGAUACGGGCAGACUUGAGUCCUGCAGGGGAGACUGGAAUUCCUGGUGUAGCGGUGAAAUGCGCAGAUAUCAGGAGGAACACCGGUGGCGAAGGCGGGUUUCUGGGCAGUAACUGACGCUGAGGAACGAAAGCGUGGGUAGCGAACAGGAUUAGAUACCCUGGUAGUCCACGCCGUAAACGGUGGGCGCUAGGUGUGGGUUCCUUC